Molecule: long non-coding RNA, 1468 nt
Organism: Dermochelys coriacea (leatherback sea turtle)
Lineage: Eukaryota; Metazoa; Chordata; Testudines; Dermochelyidae
Exons: 2
Source: RefSeq, a predicted model, not a curated record
CAUGGUUUUUCUAAAAAAGGAAAAAAAGUACUAAUUAAAGGCCCGAUCCAGAGAGAUGCUGAGUGCCUGCAAAUCUUAUGUGAGCUGUGGAUGCUCAGCACUUCUUGGGAUCAGGCCUUACAUAGGAGAACUCUGAAACAUGCUAUAUAUGUUCAUAGCUAGCAUUAAAUGCCAUUUUAGUCUAUUUUAUAGUGCACUGGGAGGUGAGAAUAGAUGAUCUGGUGAUUCCUUCUGGCCAUAAAUUCUAUGACUGAGUUGUAUAUAGUGGUAAUAAAACAAAAGCAUCAGAGCACCAACUCCUUUUAAUAUAAGAACUGCUGCUUUUAGGCAUUGGUCCUGUAAAGCCCCUUGCACUUGAUUUCAGUGGGAAGUCCUUGCAGGAUUGGGGCCUUAGAGUGUUACCAUUGCUAUAAAUCACAAGAAAAUAAGUAUGAACUGUAUGAGUGUACCCAUGCAUUUCUAGGAGCCAUUCCUUUUGGCCUAAAACAGGUAAACUCAUAUAGCAUGUUUCAUCUGUAGCCACACCCAUCCGUAGCACCAUGAUCAGUUGCCUUUUGUUGUCUAUUUCUUAAUCUGAUUAUAAGGCACAAAUUCUAUUUAAUUUACUUUUAAGCUGUCAAGUGCAUGGCUUUUUUUACAUAUCUGUAAAUACCGUAAACAUUUAGAGUGCUAUGUAAAUGAUUUAAAAAAAUAAGUGAGGAAUGCCUGAGGCUGUGAGCAGUAUUGGACUGUGGUUACCAUCAAGAUUUAUUCCGAUUUGGAGAGAUCAUGUAAUCAGAGAGAAAAGCUUAUUCUAAUUCUGUCUUGUAUCCUUUUACCCCCAAAAUACGUAAAUGCCACCACUGACAUUAAUUUAACAAAUCCAUAAUUGUUUUGUUUUGUUCAUGUUUAGGGGUUCUAUGUUUAGGGCUAAGCCGGAAAAAUCCUUGAGGUUUUUAUUUCCCCCGUGCCUGGGCUUACUGCUGUUGACACUGCAACAAUCGUCAGUUAGAAGGCCAAUAGCUCAGUUCUUCUAUGCUGGCUUCUAACCAGAUAGUAAAUUAGGACUUAAACUAACCAUUAACUAUCCACUGCUGUUUUGUCACUACCACUGAGGAGUCUCUUGAGAUACUGCUGCUGCUUAGUAUUUUGAUAAGUUUUAUAGCUUCAUUUUAAAUAGAGAUGAAGCAUUUGCGCUCCUGCUACCCAUGCCAGAAAUCAUAUGCUAAUAUUGACGUUUAAAAAUCCGUGUAGAUGCUGAACAAGACAACACAAUAAGGCACAUUUUAAAUAUAUUUAAGUUAAAGAUGUAUUUCUAAUUUUUUAGCUUAUCUGUCUGGUUUAGGGUUUUAUGCUUCUGUCCACCAUCAUAGCACCUGGUGCCUUCUUUAUAAAAGCAAUAGCAAUCCACAUAUAAUUUCUGGUAGAAAUUAUUACUUGUGUGAAAACUCAGUUGUUUUUAUGUAAACUGAGAUGUCUACCCACUCUC